This 95-nucleotide transfer RNA is filed under the name Ectopseudomonas oleovorans. RNAcentral describes it as "Pseudomonas oleovorans tRNA-Leu". Lineage: Bacteria; Pseudomonadati; Pseudomonadota; Gammaproteobacteria; Pseudomonadales; Pseudomonadaceae. The record is from RNAcentral.
CACAGAAUAUAUUAAACGGUAAUGUAAUGCGCGCAGGAGACUUAAAAUCUCUCGCUCGCAAGGGCGUGCCGGUUCGAGUCCGGCUUCGGGCACCA